Long non-coding RNA from Ananas comosus (pineapple), 840 nucleotides. RefSeq lists it as uncharacterized. The transcript has 3 exons. The record is from RefSeq and is a predicted model, not a curated record. NCBI's taxonomy places the organism in Eukaryota, Viridiplantae, Streptophyta, Magnoliopsida, Poales, Bromeliaceae.
UAUUCUUUUAUUUAUUUGUCGAUAAUUUCGUAAUGUUUUGGUUUAUAUUCCUUUUUUACUUUAUGUUUUUCUUAGAUUAAGUUUCGAUAAGAAAUAAAACUCCAUUGUAACACAUUUGAAAAUAUUAUAUAGCUAAUCUAAUUGAAGUUCAGUGGACAAGCCAAAUACAAUUUUUUUCCCUUAGCCAUUAAUUGUUAGCUAUUUUUCUGCUAUUCUUUUUCGCAUACAUGAAUUUGUUGUGUUUUUUAUGCUAACCUUUUCUUUUUUGAGUCAAUAUAAAGGAUAGGAGAAUUUGGUUAAGUGUUUUACUUUGGUGAAACGUCCGAAAACUACUGUUGUCCGCCCAUGUAGUAGCGGGAGUGCUUCUGAGGAGGACCCUGCAGCGCCUCCGGGUUAUUAUGGUGGUGGGAAUUGACAGAAUGGCGGGCUUUUCUUUUUGGGUUUUUUGCUAGGGGCCCUGUUGUAUAGCUGGUAGCUCUACUACACACUAAAUAAUUUUCUGCUCGCUGUGAAAGUCUUACUUAUAGUUCACACUGUGUUGCCAAAUCAUAUGAUAGAAACUUUCCUGUUUUGCUUCGUUUAAAUUAUUCGACAGGUUUGCUGUUUUGCUUGGUCAUGCUUUCCAUACGCAUCGAUUUGCUUCGUGUUGGCGAGUUUUGGAUAUUGUCUUGCAUCGACAACAUUUUAGAAUUCAGGAUUCAAAGGUUAAAAGGGUUUGAGUCUGCCUGCAACUGCUCAUUUGAGUCUUGGUAUUUAUCACAAUUCCUGAUUAUUAGUGGCUCCAAAAGGUGUAGAUUUUAAUUCCACGUUUUAUUUCUUGCGCACUUUAUGUUCCACACU